RNAcentral lists this ribosomal RNA (272 nucleotides) under uncultured Staphylococcus sp. Its description in RNAcentral is "partial 16S ribosomal RNA". It matches the Rfam family "Bacterial small subunit ribosomal RNA", at positions 90 to 355 of the family's 1533-position model. The record is from RNAcentral. Lineage: Bacteria; Bacillati; Bacillota; Bacilli; Caryophanales; Staphylococcaceae.
CGUUAGCGGCGGACGGGUGAGUAACACGUGGGUAACCUACCUAUAAGGCUGGGACAACUUCGGGAAACCGGAGCUAAUACCGGAUAAGAUAUCGAACCGCAUGGUUCGAUAGUGAAAGAUGGUUUUGCUAUCACUUAUAGAUGGACCCGCGCCGUAUUAGCUAGUUGGUGAGGUAACGGCUCACCAAGGCAACGAUACGUAGCCGACCUGAGAGGGUGAUCGGCCACACUGGAACUGAGACACGGUCCAGACUCCUACGGGAGGCAGCAGUU